RNAcentral lists this small RNA (102 nucleotides) under Arabidopsis thaliana (thale cress). RNAcentral describes it as "ATSL161680". Lineage: Eukaryota; Viridiplantae; Streptophyta; Magnoliopsida; Brassicales; Brassicaceae. The record is from RNAcentral.
AUGGGAAAUUUACUCAGAUGUUACAUAAAUUAUGGGGAAAAUGUCAAAAAAAGCUUCAACUUUCAAAUUUGGGAUGAAAAAAGCAUGAACUUUGAAAAUGUU